GAGAGCCGGCCCGGAGCCCCCGGCCCCGCGCCAGCCACUCGGAUCACCCGCCUCCUCCACCCGUGCUCAGUACCGAGAGCGGCCGGGAUGAGCGGGGGUCACACCGUGCGGGGCUGCAGCGCGAGGAAUGCGGCCAAGACCCCUGGGGUGGGCUCCGGGCUCCGGGUGUGGGGGGCCGUGGCUGGCGGAAAAGUGCUGCUGACAACGGAGCAUCCCGGACGGCUCGACCCCGGUGUAUCCGGGACGGCCCAGGGCGGCCCCGCCGGCUCCCCGAGCCCACCUGCCCCCGGUUCCGCAGCCGCGGCCCCCCGCGCCCCCCGCCCCGCACAGCCCGGGAUAGGUUGAAGGCUGCCGGCACCUAGUGGCUACUCGGGAAAAGCGGGAGCGGGCGAAAGCUCCGGCUGCCUCCUGGGACCUCGAUCCCGUCUGUCCCCGCAGCACCGGGCGAGGGCGGGAGCCCGGAGACGGCGGGGAGUAGCCCCUGUCCCCGCGGGACAGUCCCCGAGCACCACCCGGGGUCAGCGACCCCCGAGCUGUGCCCUGGGGCAGCGCAGUCAACAUCCGAUUUGGGGCAACUGGAGGGACCUGCCUGGUUGUGGUGAGGGGGUCGUGGGCAUCGCAGCGGGGUCUUGGGCACAGCACGGGUGUCUUGGAAAUGGCAGGCGGGCCCUGGUGUGGGGAUCACUGCAGUGGGUGGGACAAGAGGAGCAGGGCCUGUCAUGCAGGGCCUGGGCUGAGAACCCCAAAUUCAUCUCAUAGGUGAGUUCAUCUAGUGCUCAAACUGGCAUUUUGAGGCUUGAGUGACAGCACUGGUGGCAUUGCCACCAGGGAUCUCAAGACCAUCUUCUCUCUCCCAUGCAGCCGGCCCCGAGGCAGCAGAAUGGGGUCCAGCAGCCUGCUGCAGCUCCUCCGCACCCUCUGCAUCGUCUCGGCGCUGGCCAGGUGCCUGCACCCUGCUACAGCCCAGUGGUUUUCCCUGGGCUCAGAGGACACCACCCCAGAUCCAGGCACCAGCCCCAUGCCCCCCAGCCUGGAUGGGGAUGAAGACACAGACAACAGCGUGGAGCCCGUGGGGAAGGUGCUGCUGAGCAAACCUCCUCUGGCAACAGCCCCUAAACGCCGGGACCAACUCUCCAGGGGGGCAGCAAAGGGGUCAGGCCGUGCCCCGCCACGCACACGAGGCCAGGUGCUUUUU
This 1195-nucleotide long non-coding RNA is filed under the name Chloebia gouldiae (Gouldian finch). Its description in RNAcentral is "Erythrura gouldiae (Gouldian finch) lncRNA (ENSEGOG00005007673.1)". The record is from RNAcentral. Lineage: Eukaryota; Metazoa; Chordata; Aves; Passeriformes; Passeridae.